RNAcentral lists this ribosomal RNA (292 nucleotides) under uncultured bacterium. RNAcentral's name for it is "partial 16S ribosomal RNA". It matches the Rfam family "Bacterial small subunit ribosomal RNA", at positions 505 to 796 of the family's 1533-position model. The record is from RNAcentral.
GUGUCAGCCGCCGCGGUAAUACGUGAGGGGCGAACGUUGUUCGGUGUCACUGGGCUUAAAGGGCGCGUAGGUGGCUGCGUAAGUAAGGUGUGAAAGCCCUCGGCUUACCCGGGGAAUUGCGCCUUAUACUGCGUGGCUUGAGGAUCUCAGGGGAAGGGGGAACUCCAGGUGUAGCGGUGAAAUGCGCAGAUAUCUGGGGGAAGGCCGGCGGCGAAGGCGCCCUUCUGGGAGAUUCCUGACACUGAGGCGCGAAAGCGUGGGGAGCAAACAGGAUUAGAUACCCUGGUAGUCC